AAUGAGCUUCUGGUUUCUGUCCAGUCUCACAGAGUAGAGUAGAGCAGAGGAGAGGAGAGGCAGCUGAAACAAAGCAAGACCGCUGACACUGAGAUUAAUCUUUGAGUGAUAUGGAAGAUUAGUGUGGACCAGCCACUAACAGUGAGCUGUUCAACAACCCAUCAUCCAGUACAGACUGGACCAGCCACCAACAGAGGGAGCUGUUCAACAACCCAUCAUCCCUUACAGACUGGACCAGCCACUAACAGUGAGCUGUUCAACAACCCAUCAUCCCUUACAGACUGGACCAGCCACCAACAGAGGGAGCUGUUCAACAACCCAUCAUCAAACUGACUGGACCAGCCACCAACAGAGGGAGCUGUCAUCUACAGACCCAUCAUCAAACUGACUGGACCAGCCACCAACAGAGGGAGCUGUUCAACAACCCAUCAUCCCUUACAGACUGGACCAGCCACCAACAGAGGGAGCUGUUCAACAACCCAUCAUCCCUUACAGACUGGACCAGCCACCAACAGAGGGAGCUGUUCAACAACCCAUCAUCCCAUACAGACUGGACCAGCCACUAACAGUGAG
Oncorhynchus tshawytscha (Chinook salmon) is the source of this 573-nucleotide long non-coding RNA. RefSeq lists it as uncharacterized. The record is from RefSeq and is a predicted model, not a curated record. The transcript is spliced from 2 exons. NCBI's taxonomy places the organism in Eukaryota, Metazoa, Chordata, Actinopteri, Salmoniformes, Salmonidae.